UUUCUUCUGUCGCCUCCUUUGUGUAAUCUUACAGCUUCAAUUACAACCAUUCAUUACCGUGGCAGGUUUGAAUUCAGGGGUGGGCAGCCUCUAGCACAUCAGCUUUAGCUAGCUUGCUUUCUGCUGUAGCCUUAUUGUAGAAAAGUGGCUAUAUGUUAAUGCAAGUAUUUUAGCUUAAAAAUGCAUAUACUGGAUAAAGCUCACUUAAAAAGAGAUAAACUAGCUUUCCUGAAAAAAA
Long non-coding RNA from Sapajus apella (tufted capuchin), 238 nucleotides. RefSeq lists it as uncharacterized. The record is from RefSeq and is a predicted model, not a curated record. NCBI's taxonomy places the organism in Eukaryota, Metazoa, Chordata, Mammalia, Primates, Cebidae. The transcript is spliced from 2 exons.